RNAcentral lists this microRNA (21 nucleotides) under Brassica rapa (field mustard). RNAcentral describes it as "bra-miR156a-3p". Its record names the gene bra-miR156a-3p. Lineage: Eukaryota; Viridiplantae; Streptophyta; Magnoliopsida; Brassicales; Brassicaceae. RNAcentral also lists the same sequence under 2 other names. The record is from miRBase by way of RNAcentral.
GCUUACUCUCUCUCUGUCACC